Molecule: ribosomal RNA, 301 nt
Filed under: uncultured bacterium
Lineage: Bacteria
Description: partial 16S ribosomal RNA
Rfam family: Bacterial small subunit ribosomal RNA
Source: RNAcentral
CAGUAGCCACGGUAAUACGGAGGAUCCAAGCGUUAUCCGGAAUCAUUGGGUUUAAAGGGUCCGUAGGCGGUCUUGUAAGUCAGUGGUGAAAGCCCAUCGCUCAACGGUGGAACGGCCAUUGAUACUGCAGGACUUGAAUUAUUGGGAAGUAACUAGAAUAUGUAGUGUAGCGGUGAAAUGCUUAGAGAUUACAUGGAAUACCAAUUGCGAAGGCAGGUUACUACCAAUUGAUUGACGCUGAUGGACGAAAGCGUGGGUAGCGAACAGGAUUAGAUACCCGCGUAGUCCCUGUCUCUUAUAC